Molecule: ribosomal RNA, 254 nt
Filed under: uncultured bacterium
Lineage: Bacteria
Description: partial 16S ribosomal RNA
Rfam family: Bacterial small subunit ribosomal RNA
Source: RNAcentral
UACGUAGGGUCCGAGCGUUGUCCGGAUUUAUUGGGCGUAAAGAGCUCGUAGGCGGUUUCGUAACUCGGAUGUGAAAACUCAGGGCUCAACCCGGAGACGCCAUCCGAUACUGCGAUGACUGGAGUCUGGUAGGGGAUCACGGAAUACCUGGUGUAGCGGUGAAAUGCGCAGAGAUCAUGAGGAAGACCAGUGGCGAAGGCGGGUCUCUGGACAGUUCCUGACACUGAGACACGAAGGCCAGGGGAGCGAACGGG